GAUGAACUCUGGCGGCGUGCCUAAUACAUGCAAGUCGAGCGAACAGAUAAGGAGCUUGCUCCUUUGACGUUAGCGGCGGACGGGUGAGUAACACGUGGGUAACCUACCUAUAAGACUGGAAUAACUCCGGGAAACCGGGGCUAAUGCCGGAUAACAUUUAGAACCGCAUGGUUCUAAAGUGAAAGAUGGUUUUGCUAUCACUUAUAGAUGGACCCGCGCCGUAUUAGCUAGUUGGUAAGGUAACGGCUUACCAAGGCAACGAUACGUAGCCGACCUGAGAGGGUGAUCGGCCACACUGGAACUGAGACACGGUCCAGACUCCUACGGGAGGCAGCAGUAGGGAAUCUUCCGCAAUGGGCGAAAGCCUGACGGAGCAACGCCGCGUGAGUGAUGAAGGUCUUCGAAUCGUAAAACUCUGUUAUUAGGGAAGAACAAAUGUGUAAGUAACUGUGCACGUCUUGACGGUACCUAAUCAGAAAGCCACGGCUAACUACGUG
RNAcentral lists this ribosomal RNA (497 nucleotides) under uncultured bacterium. Its description in RNAcentral is "partial 16S ribosomal RNA". It matches the Rfam family "Bacterial small subunit ribosomal RNA", at positions 28 to 507 of the family's 1533-position model. The record is from RNAcentral.